Molecule: ribosomal RNA, 745 nt
Filed under: uncultured fungus
Lineage: Eukaryota; Fungi
Description: eukaryotic LSU rRNA
Rfam family: Eukaryotic large subunit ribosomal RNA
Source: RNAcentral
GCAUAUCAAUAAGCGGAGGAAAAGAAAAUAACAAUGAUUCCCCUAGUAACUGCGAGUGAAGAGGGACAAGCUCAAAUUUUAAAUCUGUCGGGUUCUACCUGACCGAGUUGUAAUUUGAAGAGGCGUUUUCUGUGUUUCUGAUCAGUCCAAGUCCUUUGGGAUAAGGCAUCACGGAGGGUGAGAAUCCCGUUCGGUUGAUCAGAUUCGCUUUACGAUACGUCAUCAAAGAGUCAAGUUGUUUGGGAUUGCAGCUUAAAAUGGGAGGUAAAUUUCUCCUGAGGCUAAAUAACGGCGAGAGACCGAUAGCGAACAAGUACCGUGAGGGAAAGAUGAAAAGAACUUUGAAAAGAGAGUUAAAUAGUACGUGAAAUUGUUGAAAGGGAAACGAUUGAAGCCAGUCGUACCUGCGGGUAAUCAGCCUUUUGGGCAUGAUUCUGUGGAGCGUGAGGAGUUAAACGCCUUCAUGCCUGCAUAUUCGUGUACUUUGGGUGUACUUGCCUGUGUGGUUAGUUAACAUCAAUUUUGGUUAUCAUAAAAUGGCUGGAGGAAUGUAGCUUCGAUUUCGAUUGAAGUGUUAUAGCCUUCGGCAGGUGUGAUGAUCGGGAUUGAGGAUUGCAACGGAUACCCUUCGGGGCUACCUGUCUGAUCUCUGAUCGUUGCUCUGGUGCCGAAAGCGUGCUUACGGUUAUCAAAGUCGAUGGUUAAUAGGUUAGAACGGGUUAAAUUCGUUAAGGAUGUUGACGUA